Molecule: ribosomal RNA, 433 nt
Filed under: uncultured bacterium
Lineage: Bacteria
Description: partial 16S ribosomal RNA
Rfam family: Bacterial small subunit ribosomal RNA
Source: RNAcentral
AGCGAACGCUGGCGGCAGGCCUAACACAUGCAAGUCGAACGGAUCCUUCGGGAUUAGUGGCGGACGGGUGAGUAACACGUGGGAACGUGCCCUUUGGUUCGGAACAACUCAGGGAAACUUGAGCUAAUACCGGAUGUGCCCUUCGGGGGAAAGAUUUAUCGCCAUUGGAGCGGCCCGCGUCUGAUUAGCUAAUUGGUGAGGUAACGGCCCACCAAGGCGACGAUCAGUAGCUGGUCUGAGAGGAUGAUCAGCCACACUGGGACUGAGACACGGCCCAGACUCCUACGGGAGGCAGCAGUGGGGAAUCUUGCGCAAUGGGCGAAAGCCUGACGCAGCCAUGCCGCGUGAAUGAUGAAGGUCUUAGGAUUGUAAAAUUCUUUCAGCGGGGACGAUAAUGACGGUACCCGCAGAAGAAGCUCCGGCUAACUUCGUG